GAUGAAGAACGUAGCGAAAUGCGAUACGUAAUGUGAAUUGCAGAAUUCAGUGAAUCAUCGAGUCUUUGAACGCACAUUGCGCCCCCUGGUAUUCCGGGGGGCAUGCCUGUCCGAGCGUCAUUGCUGCCCUCAAGCACGGCUUGUGUGUUGGGCCUCCGUCCUCCUCCCGGGGGACGGGCCCGAAAGGCAGCGGCGGCACCGCGUCCGGUCCUCGAGCGUAUGGGGCUUCGUCACCCGCUCUUGUAGGCCCGGCCGGCGCUUGCCGACACAUCAAUCUUUUUUCCAGGUUGACCUCGGAUCAGGUAGGGAUACCCGCUGAACUUAAGCAUAUCAAUAAUCGGAGGA
Molecule: unclassified non-coding RNA, 345 nt
Filed under: soil metagenome
Description: partial contains 5.8S ribosomal RNA, internal transcribed spacer 2, and large subunit ribosomal RNA
Rfam family: 5.8S ribosomal RNA (bases 1-120)
Source: RNAcentral